This 441-nucleotide ribosomal RNA is filed under the name uncultured bacterium. Its description in RNAcentral is "partial 16S ribosomal RNA". It matches the Rfam family "Bacterial small subunit ribosomal RNA", at positions 338 to 795 of the family's 1533-position model. The record is from RNAcentral.
CCUACGGGUGGCAGCAGUGGGGGAUAUUGCACAAUGGGGGAAACCCUGAUGCAGCGACGCCGCGUGGGUGAAGAAGUAUUUCGGUAUGUAAAGCCCUAUCAGCAGGGAAGAAAGAAGACGGUACCUGACUAAGAAGCCCCGGCUAACUACGUGCCAGCAGCCGCGGUAAUACGUAGGGGGCGAGCGUUAUCCGGAUUCACUGGGUGUAAAGGGAGCGUAGACGGCCGUGCAAGCCAGGAGUGAAAGCCCGGGGCCCAACCCCGGGACUGCUCGUGGAACUGUGCGGCUGGAGUGCGGGAGGGGCAGGCGGAAUUCCUGGUGUAGCGGUGAAAUGCGUAGAUAUCAGGAGGAACACCGGCGGCGAAGGCGGCCUGCUGGACCGCGACUGACGUUGAGGCUCGAAAGCGUGGGGAGCGAACAGGAUUAGAUACCCGGGUAGUC